Long non-coding RNA from Drosophila guanche, 761 nucleotides. RefSeq lists it as uncharacterized. Lineage: Eukaryota; Metazoa; Arthropoda; Insecta; Diptera; Drosophilidae. The transcript is spliced from 2 exons. The record is from RefSeq and is a predicted model, not a curated record.
UGAUUCGUGCCUAUCGGCGUAGUGUCUUUGUUUGUGCGUGUCCAUGCAUGUGUCUCUGUGUGACAUACAUUUUGUGGCUAUUGUUUGUACUUUGGGCCCUCCGCCUAAUGGCCUUGAUGUCGUCGCCGUCGCCGUCGCCGUCGUCGUGUCUGACUGCCGCCACGCCUAGACAGAGGCUUGAAUGCCUUCUUCACAUUAAAUUGAUUUAUUUUUGUUGAUUUCUAGGAAAUGUGUCCAUGAAAUCUAAAUCAAAAUUAAAUGGAAAACAGAAAUACUCAAUGAACAGCUACAAAAGUAAACCCUCUAUUAAGUGCUAGAAGCAAACAUAAUCCCAAGGAAUUGCUAGCAUACUUUUUGGGGUUUACGUCAUGUUUGUCUACAUUUAGCGGAAAAGAAAAGAAAGGGGAGAAAGCGACAGAGAGAGCGAGCGAGUGGAGAGAGAGAGAGAGAAAGAUUGUUGUUGCCACACACCAUGUUCCAUUGUGCGCCUGUGUCUCUGUCUACGCCCACGCCUCCACCUCUGUAUUUGUGUCCAAGAAAUCGCUGUGCAUGUGCCCCAAUCAUACCAAAAUCCAGUCCCAAAAAAUAUCAUCAACACCGUUCGAGCAUCGUGCAUUGUCCAUUGCAUUUGUUUAACUAAUUGGCUGAAGGUGUUUUGUGCCGUAUUUUACCUUUCAAGCUAAAAGUAGUCAAAGAAAGAGCAACAAAAUCAAAAUCAAUAAACAUAAAACUGUAAAUUGGUAAAAUACUCGCAAACAAAA